CCUCUCUCCAUAGCGUUUUGGACCCACCCGACUCCAUUCCGAACCCAGAAGUGAAACGAAAUAGCGCCGAUGCUAGUGUGGGGUUUCCCCAUGUGAGAGUAGGACAUCGCCAGGC
Molecule: ribosomal RNA, 115 nt
Filed under: Vibrio parahaemolyticus
Lineage: Bacteria; Pseudomonadati; Pseudomonadota; Gammaproteobacteria; Vibrionales; Vibrionaceae
Source: RNAcentral